Molecule: ribosomal RNA, 89 nt
Filed under: Rhizomnium striatulum
Lineage: Eukaryota; Viridiplantae; Streptophyta; Bryopsida; Bryales; Mniaceae
Description: partial 5.8S ribosomal RNA
Rfam family: 5.8S ribosomal RNA
About the family: 5.8S ribosomal RNA (5.8S rRNA) is a component of the large subunit of the eukaryotic ribosome.
Source: RNAcentral
GUGAAUUGCAGAAUUCCGCGAAUCAUCGAGUUUUUGAACGCAACUUGCGCCCGAGGCUCGUCCGAGGGCAUUUCCGCUAGAGCGUCACC